GUCCAGGGGCCGCAGAAACCGAAAGUGCGGUGUGUUUAGGCGCCCCGCUGAGAUUGAUUCACCUUCACCUGUACGAGUACUAGUUGACCAGGUAGGAAACCAGACAGGCAGUAAAAUAUGAACGGAAGAGUGGAUUGUUUGGUCACUGAGGAAGAGAUCAAUCUUACCCGAGGACCCUCAGAGACAUCACAUGCUCAAACUUGGAAGAAGCCUCCAUUGGUUUGAUUUCAUAAGUCGAGUCAUCCACCUGCAGCAUGCCACGCAGACCCCCAUAGCAAGUGUCCAGCGUGCCCAUGGAUCCAGGAACCCCCUCCAAGUAGCUGAAGUAGUAGCAGUCUCGAGGGAUAAAGGGGUAGUCCUCCUGCAUGGCACCUUGGUCGUUAUAGGUGAUAACCGGAAAAUGUCUGGGCAGCAAGUUCUUCUUGACCUUCAUGUGAACCACAUGUCUUCGGCCACUGAAGUGAAUCCUGUAGGAGAGCUGGCCUCGUACCCCAGCUCCGCCCAGCCUGUGGGACACCUUCCUGGGGAUCACAAUUUCAGAGGAAGUGAAACGCCAUCCUGGUAGGGCAUGGGAACAACUGACCUGAGACAGGAGUAGCCAGAGGAGAGGCAGCCAGAGAGCCCCUGUCAGGUGGGCCUUGGCCCAGGCAGGCGCCAUGAGCGAGGGAACCUGUGACCAUAGAGAGUGCAGGCCAGACUAAAGCUGCUGUAGCACCUUUUCCAGCAGGAGGAGAGCAGAGAGAGGCUGGAGGUUUGGCACCCCUAGAGACUGGGAGGGGGAGGGGGUAGCUAUUACAGAACAAUGGUGCAUUCUUUGGGGGAGGCUGUGCUCAGUGAUGUAGGGAGUCUGGGCUGAAAGGUCCCCUGGUCUCUUGGAGAAGACUCAGGGAAAGGAUCAGUGGAUUUUGUGGCAACUUUAAGACACUCGGUGGCUUUUUUCCUCAAGCCUAGAACAUAAUAGGUCAACAUGACAUUAAAAUGGAGAAUGGUGAGGAGAGUGGAAGCUUCUCUGUAUAAGAAUUUUGAGGAGAGAAUUAGAUUCUCUCACACUUUUUAAAAGUUCUUGUAACUAUUGUCUUAUAACUUUGCCCUUUCUUGAUAUGGCAAAGCCCUAGAAAUAGGAUUUAAAUGCAGUUGGGCUGAGUGAUGGAAAGGAAGUGUAAACAGAUGUCGUGGAUAGAAAAGCCAGGGUGUAUAAUGAUAGUUUCUUGUAGAGUGAAACUCACACCUACUUCAUGUGGCCAAGGAAAUUAAUUGCCCACUAAGACUUGCACAUGAAUAUUCAUAGCAGCAUUAUUCAUGAAUUUAUCCUACCAAAUGGAAACAAACAACCAGUACUCAAUAGACGAAUGGAUAAACAAAAGGGUAUAUUUGUCCGAUGGAAUACCUCAGUAAAUCAGAAGAGACUCCUGAUACGUGUAAGAACAUGGAUGUGUCUCACAGAUAUGAUGAUGAUGAUGAUGAUGAUGAUGAUAGAGAGAAACAGGACCAAAGCAACUUAAUAUAUGAUUUAAUUUUUAUGACGUUCUAGAACACUCCAAAACCAGUUCUGGUCACAGAAUUUAAAAUUUCCUGACUUGGGAAUGGAGGAGUGGAGAGAACUUUCUAGUGAUGGAAAACUUGUGUAUCUUGACUGGGGUGUGUUGUAGAUUACGUGAUCGUGUGCCUCCCAAAUUCACAUGUUGAAAUUAUAAGUGUGUCUGGGUUUUGUGAAGUUUGAGUAAAAUUAAAUUUAAAAUUGUAUCGGGGGGAAAAAAAGACUAAAACAUGCAGCGUGGUUGUCUCUAUCAGGUCCCACUCAAAUCACCAAUCUGGCCCCUACAAAAACCCCAUUGAUCCUAAGAAUGACUGUAAAUUACAUCAAGCUCUACCCAGUAGAAUCUCUUAUUGUAGCUGCCGCCUCAGAUGUGCUGUCAUUGCUAGAGCAAACUAAGGUGCCCUCAAGUGCAUGACAUGCAGCCAUUGAUUUAGUGGUAGUACUAAUUGCUGUUAUGACCAGAAAGAGAAUAUCAUAAACAAGCAGGCUUCAUGUGGCAUGGAUAAAUGUACUUAUUUAUAGCUUUGCCCACAAGGGCUGUAUUCACCCAUCCCCCUUACUUUUGUCAUAACUUUGCCCUUUCUUGAUAUGGCAAAGCCCUAGAAAUAGGAUUUAAAAAAUUUGAGGCUAACCAUUAUCAUU
Long non-coding RNA from Myotis lucifugus (little brown bat), 2179 nucleotides. RefSeq lists it as uncharacterized. Lineage: Eukaryota; Metazoa; Chordata; Mammalia; Chiroptera; Vespertilionidae. The transcript has 2 exons. The record is from RefSeq and is a predicted model, not a curated record.